This 497-nucleotide ribosomal RNA is filed under the name uncultured bacterium. RNAcentral describes it as "partial 16S ribosomal RNA". It matches the Rfam family "Bacterial small subunit ribosomal RNA", at positions 28 to 507 of the family's 1533-position model. The record is from RNAcentral.
GACGAACGCUGGCGGCGUGCCUAAUACAUGCAAGUCGAGCGAACAGAUGAGGAGCUUGCUCCUCUGACGUUAGCGGCGGACGGGUGAGUAACACGUGGAUAACCUACCUAUAAGACUGGGAUAACUUCGGGAAACCGGAGCUAAUACCGGAUAAUAUAUUGAACCGCAUGGUUCAAUAGUGAAAGACGGUUUUGCUGUCACUUAUAGAUGGAUCCGCGCCGCAUUAGCUAGUUGGUAAGGUAACGGCUUACCAAGGCAACGAUGCGUAGCCGACCUGAGAGGGUGAUCGGCCACACUGGAACUGAGACACGGUCCAGACUCCUACGGGAGGCAGCAGUAGGGAAUCUUCCGCAAUGGGCGAAAGCCUGACGGAGCAACGCCGCGUGAGUGAUGAAGGUCUUCGGAUCGUAAAGCUCUGUUAUUAGGGAAGAACAAAUGUGUAAGUAACUAUGCACGUCUUGACGGUACCUAAUCAGAAAGCCACGGCUAACUACGUG